This 254-nucleotide ribosomal RNA is filed under the name uncultured bacterium. RNAcentral's name for it is "partial 16S ribosomal RNA". It matches the Rfam family "Bacterial small subunit ribosomal RNA", at positions 524 to 776 of the family's 1533-position model. The record is from RNAcentral.
UACGGAGGGUGCAAGCGUUAUCCGGAAUCACUGGGUUUAAAGGGUGCGUAGGCGGUCAGAUAAGUCAGUUGUGAAAUUCUCCGGCUUAACCGGGUGAACUGCGAUUGAUACUGUUUGACUUGAAUCAAGUUGAGGUAAGCGGAAUGUGACAUGUAGCGGUGAAAUGCUUAGAUAUGUCAUAGAACACCGAUUGCGAAGGCAGCUUGCUGGGCUUGUAUUGACGCUGAGGCACGAAAGCGUGGGGAGCAAACAGG